This 253-nucleotide ribosomal RNA is filed under the name uncultured bacterium. RNAcentral describes it as "partial 16S ribosomal RNA". It matches the Rfam family "Bacterial small subunit ribosomal RNA", at positions 524 to 776 of the family's 1533-position model. The record is from RNAcentral.
UACGGAGGGUGCGAGCGUUGUUCGGAAUCACUGGGCGUAAAGCGCGUGUAGGCGGCCUUUUAAGUCUGAUGUGAAAGCCCGGGGCUCACCCCCGGAAGUGCAUUGGAAACUGGGAGGCUAGAGUACCGGAGAGGAAGGUGGAAUUCCUGGUGUAGCGGUGAAAUGCGUAGAUAUCAGGAGGAACACCGGUGGCGAAGGCGGCCUUCUGGGCCAACACUGACGCUCAUGCACGAAAGCGUGGGGAGCAAACAGG